AACGAACGCUGGCGGCAGGCCUAACACAUGCAAGUCGAACGCCCUAGCAAUAGGGAGUGGCAGACGGGUGAGUAACACGUGGGAACGUGCCCUUCGGUUCGGAAUAACUCAGGGAAACUUGAGCUAAUACCGGAUAAGUGCGAGAGCAGAAAGAUUUAUCGCCGAAGGAUCGGCCCGCGUCCGAUUAGCUAGUUGGUGAGGUAAUGGCUCACCAAGGCGACGAUCGGUAGCUGGUCUGAAAGGAUGACCAGCCACACUGGGACUGAGACACGGCCCAGACUCCUACGGGAGGCAGCAGUGGGGAAUAUUGGACAAUGGGCGCAAGCCUGAUCCAGCCAUGCCGCGUGAGUGAUGAAGGCCCUAGGGUUGUAAAGCUCUUUCGCCAGGGACGAUAAUGACGGUACCUGGAUAAGAAGCCCCGGCUAACUUCGUGCAGCAGCCGCCGUAA
This 448-nucleotide ribosomal RNA is filed under the name uncultured bacterium. Its description in RNAcentral is "partial 16S ribosomal RNA". It matches the Rfam family "Bacterial small subunit ribosomal RNA", at positions 29 to 523 of the family's 1533-position model. The record is from RNAcentral.